This is a small nuclear RNA of Delphinapterus leucas (beluga whale), 102 nucleotides long. The record is from Ensembl. Lineage: Eukaryota; Metazoa; Chordata; Mammalia; Artiodactyla; Monodontidae.
GUGCUCACUUCAGCAGCACCUAUACUAAAACUGGAACGAUACAGAGAAGCUUAGCAAGGCCCCAUGCAAGUUUUUAGUUAUACUGUGUAAAACUUAAUUCUU